AUUUUUUCCUGGUGCCGUCUUCUCUUCAUUAAAUGGCAUUUGCUCUGAAGAUAAAUUUAAGAUAUCAGUAUCUUUGGUCUUACAUUGGUCAGAAUCAGAUUUUGGAGCCCGAUUCUUCUCUUUACGCCGUGACGAGGAACCUCUUUUCCUAUUUGACACAGACCCACUAUUCUGAAACUGAUGGUCAUUCUUUCUCUCCUUAUCGGAGCCUUGGUCUGAGUUUCCAGUCUUGCAAGCAAAGUGACUAGCUUGACGUAAGGGAUCUGCACUUACAUCGGUAUCCUGUUGAGUUGCAUAACCAGAAACCAUGGACUUUGCUUUGACUUUUUUACCUGAUUCACGAUGAACAUCUUUCUCCUCUAAUUCAGCUUCAGAUAAUAGAUCAUAACUCUUGCCAUUGCAGGCAUUAUCCUUCUUAACCAUACUGGAUUUAUUGGAGAACACAUCAUUUUCACCAUCAGAAGACCUCUUGGGACUAGAAGUGGGUAAGGCUGAAGAGGGAGCAACAGAAGGUCGCGAAUUGCAUAGAUCCUUUUGUGAAGAAUCUGCAGCUUUAACACUCAACAAAGAUAGAGUACUAUCCAGAUCUUGCCCAGCCUGCUGUUCCUUUUUAACUUGACCUGUUCCAGCACUACCUUUGCUUGCACUAGUGUCCUUCCGGUCAGACAAGGAGACCCUUGCUACCUUUUCCUUCCUAGAGAUGUCAUCACAUAUUUUUUCCAUAGAAUCCUGGGGAUUACAUGUCAAGGAAUCUCGCAGUUCUCUCCCUUUUCUCUUAAUCGGAGAAUCAUUAUUGUCACACUUCCCCUUAUGCGUUGACAUAUCGGAAAU
Molecule: unclassified non-coding RNA, 831 nt
Filed under: Hevea brasiliensis (rubber tree)
Lineage: Eukaryota; Viridiplantae; Streptophyta; Magnoliopsida; Malpighiales; Euphorbiaceae
Source: RNAcentral